UACGGAGGGUGCGAGCGUUGUUCGGAAUCACUGGGCGUAAAGCGCGUGUAGGCGGCCUUCUAAGUUUGAUGUGAAAGCCCGGGGCUCACCCCCGGAAGUGCAUUGGAUACUGGAAGGCUGGAGUACCGGAGAGGAGGGUGGAAUUCCUGGUGUAGCGGUGAAAUGCGUAGAUAUCAGGAGGAACACCUGUGGCGAAGGCGGCCCUCUGGACGGAUACUGACGCUGAGACGCGAAAGCGUGGGGAGCAAACAGG
This 253-nucleotide unclassified non-coding RNA is filed under the name uncultured delta proteobacterium. RNAcentral's name for it is "contains 16S-23S intergenic spacer region". It matches the Rfam family "Bacterial small subunit ribosomal RNA", at positions 524 to 776 of the family's 1533-position model. The record is from RNAcentral. Lineage: Bacteria; Deltaproteobacteria.